CCUCUGAGAUGUUCCCCAAGCCUUAGGCAUUAUCCACUGGGGCUGGGUAUCCCACAGUCAAAAAGAACCUUGGACAAUAGCCCAAUAUGGUAUUUUUAAGUGAGUGGACGCCUGGAGAACACAGGUGUUAGAUAGUCUUCCUGCUACUGGGAUGAUGGAUUGACAUCUUCAAUCAAGGCAUCCCGAGGACUCCUACAGAUUUAGAUGAAGGAGACUUUCAAGGUUGUGUUUGUUUGGAAGGCGACCUCAGUAAGCCAUUGAGGUAGAUGUCAACUGAUGAGACGCUUCUGAGAGGGACUCAAAACUGCUGACCUUGGGAAUUUGCUCUAGAGGAGAGAAAUUCUUGGCCCCUGAGAGAAUGCUGAGAAGACAGGGGAGUGAAAAGAACAAGUCAACAGACUGAGCCAAGCCCAGGGGACAUGGCUAAGCGGCACGCAGAGCAACACAAGAAACCAUUGCUUGGGAAAGGACUCCUCAGAUGAAAGUGUACAAAAUAUGGUCAUUCCUCAUCACCAGGGUUAGCUCCAGGACCCUUGCCCAGGGCACCACAAUCUUAGAGUGCUCAAGUCCCUUAUAUAAACAGCAAAAUGAAUUAGGG
This is a long non-coding RNA of Mastomys coucha (southern multimammate mouse), 598 nucleotides long. RefSeq lists it as uncharacterized. The record is from RefSeq and is a predicted model, not a curated record. Lineage: Eukaryota; Metazoa; Chordata; Mammalia; Rodentia; Muridae. The transcript has 3 exons.